GUAGGUUAUAGUAAUAUGGGUUGGCAUGUCUGCCAUAGAAUAUGUUAGGGUUUUGAGGAGACAUGUGUGCCUCUUCUUUCCCAGAAACAAAAAGUAAAGCAAAUUUGGGGAUUUACGAAGAAUGGAAAUGUUACUGUAAGAUCAGCUUAUUAUGUUUGUAGCACUUCAAUCAAUGGCUGCCAUUGUUACUAACUAAUGCCCAAUCUUCAACAAGUUCGGCGCAUAACCAAAAAGUUUCUCAAUUUGUUUGGAGAGCUUGUACGGACACACUUCCAACCAAAGUAAAUUUGAUGAACAGUCGAAGUAUUUCUGAUCAUAUUUGCGGUGGAGAUUUAGAAACUCUGUGUCACUUGUUCCUCCGUUGUCCCUUUUGCUAUCUGUCUUUGUAUUUAUUGUUGAAUAUAUAAUUUGUAUUUCAAAAAGCCUUUUAUUUCAC
This 436-nucleotide long non-coding RNA is filed under the name Ricinus communis (castor bean). RNAcentral describes it as "long non-coding RNA (RCOM_LNC000764)". The record is from RNAcentral. Lineage: Eukaryota; Viridiplantae; Streptophyta; Magnoliopsida; Malpighiales; Euphorbiaceae.